RNAcentral lists this ribosomal RNA (413 nucleotides) under Rhodococcus erythropolis. RNAcentral's name for it is "bacterial SSU rRNA". It matches the Rfam family "Bacterial small subunit ribosomal RNA", at positions 505 to 916 of the family's 1533-position model. The record is from RNAcentral. Lineage: Bacteria; Bacillati; Actinomycetota; Actinomycetes; Mycobacteriales; Nocardiaceae.
GUGCCAGCAGCCGCGGUAAUACGUAGGGUGCAAGCGUUGUCCGGAAUUACUGGGCGUAAAGAGUUCGUAGGCGGUUUGUCGCGUCGUUUGUGAAAACCAGCAGCUCAACUGCUGGCUUGCAGGCGAUACGGGCAGACUUGAGUACUGCAGGGGAGACUGGAAUUCCUGGUGUAGCGGUGAAAUGCGCAGAUAUCAGGAGGAACACCGGUGGCGAAGGCGGGUCUCUGGGCAGUAACUGACGCUGAGGAACGAAAGCGUGGGUAGCGAACAGGAUUAGAUACCCUGGUAGUCCACGCCGUAAACGGUGGGCGCUAGGUGUGGGUUCCUUCCACGGAAUCCGUGCCGUAGCUAACGCAUUAAGCGCCCCGCCUGGGGAGUACGGCCGCAAGGCUAAAACUCAAAGGAAUUGACGG